GUCAGGCCCAACGCGGAAAUCUGCAGUGACGAAAGCAGUGAUUCAAAGAGAGAUGUGCCCCCGAAUGUUGGCUGCUUGAUGAACACAGAUGCGACUUACAAAUGAUGCAUUCAACCAAGAGGCGACGAAGCCAGAACGACAAGAUUACAGACCGAGUUGAAACAGACAGUAGACCAGAUGGACAGAUAGUCCAACACACAAAAAAAAGCUACCCUCUCUCGCCAGGUUUGGUGGAGUAAGAUGAGGAAGGCAGCAGAGGGACAGAGCAGCCGGUGGAGCAGACAGACGCUUCGGUCCGGCAUCCGCAGACCUCCUCGCGGCAGCACUCCCAUACGCAUACGCUAAUGCUGCAGCAGCAGCCUGUGGGCUGCCGUCCAGUGUUGUGUGCUGUGUGUGCGGUUCAGUUCAGAGGGGUUUUCAUGUGCAUGUCUGCUGCAUUUGUGUCAUGGGAAAAAUAUUUAUGAAAUCCCCUUGGCGUCCUUCGAGGUUAAAGAAAAGGCUGGAUCACAAAAACAGGGCAAAACACUACAGAGAGGACAACUAUGUCCUAAAGGCUUAGUGGUGAAUUUUAAGUUUAAGGAAUAUUUACCAUUGAAAAUAUUUUUACCUGGCAGGAUAAUUAUCCUGCUGUACUUUGAUAAUCCUAUAUACAAUUUGUGUAGCAAAACCUUUGUCUUUAUGUAUUGCUCUCAGCUUGAUGGUUUCUCAUUCUGGUAUCAGG
This is a long non-coding RNA of Gasterosteus aculeatus aculeatus (three-spined stickleback), 721 nucleotides long. NCBI's taxonomy places the organism in Eukaryota, Metazoa, Chordata, Actinopteri, Perciformes, Gasterosteidae. The record is from Ensembl.